RNAcentral lists this ribosomal RNA (253 nucleotides) under uncultured bacterium. RNAcentral describes it as "partial 16S ribosomal RNA". It matches the Rfam family "Bacterial small subunit ribosomal RNA", at positions 524 to 776 of the family's 1533-position model. The record is from RNAcentral.
GACGAACCGUGCGAACGUUGUUCGGAAUCACUGGGCUUAAAGGGCGCGUAGGCGGACCAGCAAGUCCGGGGUGAAAUCUUUCGGUUCAACCGGAAAAGUGCCUUGGAUACUGCUGGUCUCGAGGGAGGUAGGGGUUUGUGGAACUUCUGGUGGAGCGGUGAAAUGCGUUGAUAUCAGAAGGAACGCCGGUGGCGAAAGCGACGAACUGGACCUCUUCUGACGCUGAGGCGCGAAAGCUAGGGGAGCAAACGGG